CGCCUGGGGAGUACGGGUGAGGUAACGGCUCACCAAGGCAUCGACGGGUAGCUGGUCUGAGAGGAUGAUCAGCCACACUGGGACUGAGACACGGCCCAGACUCCUACGGGAGGCAGCAGUGGGGAAUAUUGCACAAUGGGCGAAAGCCUGAUGCAGCAACGCCGCGUGCGGGAUGAAGGCCCUAGGGUUGUAAACCGCCUUCAGCAGGGAAGAAAAUGACGGUACCUGUAGAAGAAGGUGCGGCCAACUACGUGCCAGCAGCCGCGGUGACACGUAGGCACCAAGCGUUGUCCGGAUUUAUUGGGCGUAAAGAGCUCGUAGGCGGUUCAGUAAGUCGGGUGUGAAAACUCUGGGCUCAACCCAGAGACGCCACUCGAUACUGCUGUGACUAGAGUGCGGUAGGGGAGCGGGGAAUUCCUAGUGUAGCGGUGAAAUGCGCAGAUAUUAGGAGGAACACCAGUGGCGAAGGCGCCGCUCUGGGCCGUAACUGACGCUGAGGAGCGAAAGCGUGGGUAGCAAACAGGAUUAGAUACCCUGGUAGUCCACGCCGUAAACGUUGGGCACUAGGUGUGGGUCUCAACCAACGAGAUCCGCGCCGUCGCUAACGCAUUAAGUGCCCCGCCUGGGGAGUACGG
This 635-nucleotide ribosomal RNA is filed under the name uncultured Actinomycetes bacterium. RNAcentral's name for it is "bacterial SSU rRNA". It matches the Rfam family "Bacterial small subunit ribosomal RNA", at positions 234 to 885 of the family's 1533-position model. Lineage: Bacteria; Bacillati; Actinomycetota; Actinomycetes. The record is from RNAcentral.